Molecule: ribosomal RNA, 347 nt
Filed under: uncultured Glomus
Lineage: Eukaryota; Fungi; Glomeromycota; Glomeromycetes; Glomerales; Glomeraceae
Description: SSU rRNA
Rfam family: Eukaryotic small subunit ribosomal RNA
Source: RNAcentral
AGCAGCCGCGGUAAUUCCAGCUCCAAUAGCGUAUAUUAAAGUUAGUUGCAGUUAAAAAGCUCGUAGUUGAAUUUCGGGACUAAUAUGUCGGUCGUACUUUGUACGUACUAGCAUUAUUGGUUUCUCCCUUCUGACGAACCACGAUGUCAUUAAUUUGGUGUCAUGGGAAAUCAGGACUGUUACUUUGAAAAAUUGAAGUGUUUAAAGCAAGCUCGCGCUUUGAAUACAUUAGCAUGGGAAUAAUGAAAUAGGACGUUUGAUUCUAUUUUGUUGGUUUCUUAGGAUCGACGUAAUGAUUAAUAGGGAUAGUUGGGGGCAUUAGUAUUCAAUUGUCAGAGGUGAAAUUC